AUUGAACGCUGGCGGCAGGCCUAACACAUGCAAGUCGAGCGGAUGAAGGGAGCUUGCUCCUGGAUUCAGCGGCGGACGGGUGAGUAAUGCCUAGGAAUCUGCCUGGUAGUGGGGGAUAACGUCCGGAAACGGGCGCUAAUACCGCAUACGUCCUGAGGGAGAAAGUGGGGGAUCUUGGGACCUAACGCAUUCGGUUAAGCCUAGGUCGGAUUAGCUAGUUGGUGGGGUAAAGGCCUACCAAGGCGACGAUCCGUAACUGGUCUGAGAGGAUGAUCAGUCACACUGGAACUGAGACACGGUCCAGACUCCUACGGGAGGCAGUAGUGGGGAAUAUUGGACAAUGGGCGAAAGCCUGAUCCAGCCAUGCCGCGUGUGUGAAGAAGGUCUUCGGAUUGUAAAGCACUUUAAGUUGGGAGGAAGGGCAGUAAGUUAAUACCUUGCUGUUUUGACGUUACCAACAGAAUAAGCACCGGCUAACUUCGUG
RNAcentral lists this ribosomal RNA (484 nucleotides) under uncultured bacterium. Its description in RNAcentral is "partial 16S ribosomal RNA". It matches the Rfam family "Bacterial small subunit ribosomal RNA", at positions 30 to 507 of the family's 1533-position model. The record is from RNAcentral.